CAGCAGGCCUUAAAUAUAUUGCAUGUACAUUUAUUUUUUCCUCUGUUUAACUACUGAAUUUUUUAAUAAAAUAGAAAUGAAACAGUAUGUGUUAACGAAAGAAAAUCCUUCUUGCCUCAGAUUUUCCAACUUUAUUUUGAGGGGAAAAAGUUGGUAUUUCUCUUUAACCAAAAAUAGAAAAAGGCUAUGUACUUAAGAUAUUUACAUUCAUAGUGGACAUCAAUCCAAUUUAAAUCCGAAGUAUAACAGCAGUCAAUUACUUAAGCAUAAACAUGUUUUUAAAUGUUUGGCCUUUUUUCUGUUUCUCAUUCAAAUUUGUUGGUAAUUCUCACAUUUUACAAACUGAUAUUGUUGUUUAUAAAGAUAUAAAGUAGAAUAUACACCAUUUUCUUUCCUUUUGCCAUAAAAGUCGUCUUUGUAUUGUAUUGUGAUUUUCCUCCAGAUGAGAGAGGAAACUGACCAGGUGUGGUGUGCAGGCCUAGCCUCACAUAUUAGGAACUCAAGAACUCAGGAAUCUAAGGAAUAAAUACCCAGUCUCCCUCACAUAAGCAGGUCAACUUUCCAUUCUAAAUUUAGGUAAAACUGCAAGCAUGAAAAAAAUAGAAUUUUUCAUUGCAAUUUUUAUAGUCAGGUAGUGUUUUAGCAACUUGAAGUCAGCACUUAAUUUGAUUGUAUUACCCAUCAAAGAGUCGCUAAUCUUUUCUGUUUUUAGCAGUAAAGGAAAUGAAUUAUUCUUUAUUUUCCAAAUGUAUUAAUAUAAAGCACAAAUGUGAUGUAGUUACUUAGAAUACAAAAUACUAUGAAAUGAAUGUAAAGAAUGGAAAACUGUAUUUUUGCAUGAAAACAGACCACUUACAAACUUAAUAUCUCAGGAAAAAUGAAAAAUUAUAUAUAAAAUUGAUAAACUAUAUGUUGAAUUAAGUUGGUAUAUUUUCUUGCCUGUUUCUAUUUUAAGAAAGCAUAUACGUGAAAAGAAAAACAUGAUCCCGGUAGUCAGAAUUUUCUAAGUAUGCUACAAGGUCCUUUCUGUGAAUCUACAGUUAACCACAGUAAGAAUGGAAUUAGCAUUCAAGUGAGGACAAAGCCCUAAUGAGAACACAUAAAUGGUUAUAACCCAGAGGCAAUAGAUACAUAUUACCUGGAGGCAAGCACUUCUAAACUUGGUCCAAACGAAAGGUUUUCAUGGGGUGACAGUGGCUUUUAAACAUUCGACAGAUUAUUUUUAUUUUUCUUGUUAAGUCACUGCAGCAGUUGCAUGAAGGGGAAAUGGAUAUUUUUUGAAGAAUUGCUUAUUCUACUUUCAAUUUUUAAAAAUUGAGGAAAUUUAAAAGUUACCUUUUAAAUAUGCAUAAAAGUAUAUUAACUGUAAUUAUAUUUUUAGUUGCUUUGUUAUAAUAGCAUGCAUAUCAAAUAUACAAUGCAUUUAUGAAAACUUUUGUAAAAAAAUAAAGAUUUUUUUUGUUUCUCA
Molecule: long non-coding RNA, 1468 nt
Filed under: Bos taurus (domestic cattle)
Lineage: Eukaryota; Metazoa; Chordata; Mammalia; Artiodactyla; Bovidae
Description: long non-coding RNA NONBTAT023026
Source: RNAcentral